RNAcentral lists this ribosomal RNA (392 nucleotides) under uncultured bacterium. RNAcentral's name for it is "partial 16S ribosomal RNA". It matches the Rfam family "Bacterial small subunit ribosomal RNA", at positions 523 to 918 of the family's 1533-position model. The record is from RNAcentral.
AUACGGAGGAUCCGAGCGUUAUCCGGAUUUAUUGGGUUUAAAGGGUGCGCAGGCGGCCAUUUAAGUCGGCGGUUAAAUCGUGGGGCUCAACCCCAUUCUGCCGUUGAUACUGGGUGGCUUGAUUGCGGUCGAGGUUGGCGGAAUUCGUUGUGUAGCGGUGAAAUGCAUAGAUAUGACGAAGAACACCGAUUGCGUAGGCAGCUGACCAGACCGCAAAUGACGCUCAUGCACGAAAGUGCGGGGAUCGAACAGGAUUAGAUACCCUGGUAGUCCGCACAGUAAACGAUGAAUACUUGUUUUCGGCGAUAUAAUGUCGGAGGCAAAGCGAAAGCGAUAAGUAUUCCACCUGGGGAGUACGCCGGCAACGGUGAAACUCAAAGGAAUUGACGGGG